CACCUAUUAUAUGAAUAUAUCUCUUCCACUCAUUAAUGCUUAGAUGGAAAAAAUACGGCCCCAUGGGAGCCAAUUAUUGAAUCAUGAUGGAAUAAGAUAGCACACAGUGUUUGGACUAGAAAAACAAACAUGAAUAAGGUUGUUAUUGGUCUUUUAAUAACUAUAAUCAACAAAAUCUUGAAGAAAAUAUUAUUAAGCUGAUGAAUAUGUCAAAUGUGAUUUGUCCCUGGUCUAUUUUGAUGUAUUACACAAUGUGCUUGACCUGCCUAACCCGUUACUUAACGUGCCUUUUUGUAGUACAAUUUAAGUGGUUGGAGCUUGUGAAACAAGUUUAGUCGUUAAGACGAAACGGCUUUCUGGGAAUAGACAAUCCAAUCCACAAGACGUGGAUUGUUUCUUUUUAAGAUAACUUGCCUGAAUUUAGUUAAAAUUCCAUUUUAAUGUUUAAUAUCCAUAUAUGGCAUGAAAACAUGUAGAUUGUAGCCUUUCUAUGAAACUAUAGAUAUUCUUAAUUAUAUUAUUGGUAGUAGACAAAUUUUGUUUUGGUUUACAUUAGGACGGGACAAUGAAGGUUAUAUCAUUCUACCAACGACCCUGUGCAUUAUGCAUUCGGUCUGCAAAUGGCGUAAUUUCCAGUGUUACCCUUCACCCGCCCGACUAUUCUGGUGGUACAUUGACUUAUGAGGUGACAAAUUCAUCUGCUUAUCUGUUCCAUUUUUAUAAAAAAAAACUAUUAAAAUGUGAUAUAGGGUCUUAUCUAUUGAUUGUUAAAUUUUCAUGAAAAUUAUACACCUUUUAUUUAAUAUCUUUCUUAAGGGUUGUUUUGAGAUAAUUUCAUUGGUGGGAUCAUUUCUUCCGUCCGAUAAGGGAGGAAUAAGGAACAUAUCGAUUGGGAUAAGUGUUUCUCUGUCAAGCCCUGAUGGGCGGGUCGUUGGUGGCAGUGUGGCAAGUCUAUUGGGGGCUGCCACUCCGGUGCAGAUUAUAGUAGGAAGUUUCUUGAAUGGUGUCAAGCAAGAUCAGAAGACUACCAAGAAACGAAAAAAUAACAUAACCAUCACAAUCCCAACAACCGGUGUGGUUCCCGUUCCCUUUCAUGCAACAGUAGUACCUGUGUCACCACCAGCACCAACAUCGUCACAUACAUAUGUUUUUAUUGUUCACAUAUCUAAAAAGUUGUUUGUAUUCUGAUUCGAUUUUUAUAGAAGGUGUAUGUUGGUCGCUGAUCGAUAUGUCCUAAAUUUCAUAGUCAGUUCCAACUUAGUAUCACUGAAUGAAACUACAGAAGAUAACAGUUUUGAAGAUGCAUCAGGGAUAUAUGUUUUAAUGAAAGUUAAAGAUCCAGCUAAGUCAUGUGCCACCUUUUGGAGACAGAGUACAGAAGUAACAUCCUUGAUGAUAUGUUUGAGGUUAUGGAAUGUGUACAUCAAACACAUAUCUUAGCUGCAAUGGAAUUGGAUUCUGUACAUUCUUAUCCAUGCUCUAAAAUUUUCAACACCAACUUUGGCACUUUGCAUAAGAUUUAUGACAUGUAAAAGAUUUACGUUAAUCAUUUUUUGUCCAGAAGAGGAUACCUCCUGUGCUAAGAGUUGUGACCUUCAACCCUAUAUAUGCAGUUGACUUAAACAUAGAGGUUGUCAAUUCUGAAGAUGAGAUAUGUCAUGCCAGCAACGAAUUGCAAGAUUUUUCAAAUGUUUAUGCAUAAAACUCUACAUAGAUUUAUAGUACAUAAAUAGGCUUUUAUAUCAAUCUAUAUCCCAUUUUAAAUUA
This is a long non-coding RNA of Erigeron canadensis, 1767 nucleotides long. RefSeq lists it as uncharacterized. The record is from RefSeq and is a predicted model, not a curated record. The transcript is spliced from 5 exons. NCBI's taxonomy places the organism in Eukaryota, Viridiplantae, Streptophyta, Magnoliopsida, Asterales, Asteraceae.